AGUGAACGCUGGCGGUAGGCCUAACACAUGCAAGUCGAACGGCAGCACAGUAAGAGCUUGCUCUUACGGGUGGCGAGUGGCGGACGAGUGAGGAAUACAUCGGAAUCUACUUUUUCGUGGGGGAUAACGUAGGGAAACUUACGCUAAUACCGCAUACGACCUACGGGUGAAAGCAGGGGAUCUUCGGACCUUGCGCGAUUGAAUGAGCCGAUGUCGGAUUAGCUAGUUGGCGGGGUAAAGGCCCACCAAGGCGACGAUCCGUAGCUGGUCUGAGAGGAUGAUCAGCCACACUGGAACUGAGACACGGUCCAGACUCCUACGGGAGGCAGCAGUGGGGAAUAUUGGACAAUGGGCGCAAGCCUGAUCCAGCCAUACCGCGUGGGUGAAGAAGGCCUUCGAGUUGUAAAGCCCUUUUGUUGGGAAAGAAAAGCAGCAGGUUAAUACCCCGCUGUUCUGACGGUACCCAAAGAAUAAGCACCGGCUAACUUCGUG
RNAcentral lists this ribosomal RNA (492 nucleotides) under uncultured bacterium. RNAcentral describes it as "partial 16S ribosomal RNA". It matches the Rfam family "Bacterial small subunit ribosomal RNA", at positions 29 to 507 of the family's 1533-position model. The record is from RNAcentral.